AUGGAAAAAACAAAAAAAAAUAACAAAAAUAUAGAAAAUGAAAAUGAACAGGAAGGAACUAAUGUGACAGAAAUAUUCACCGAAAAUCCAAAGGCUGUUAUAAAAACUAGCAAAAAGAAUAAAUAUAAGAAAGCCAAACAGAAGAAAAAAAACAAAAAAACUUGUAACAAUAAUGCAAACGCACAAAACAAUACAAUUUGUAACAAUAAUACAAACGUACAAAACAAUAUAUGUUAUAACUAUAAUGCAAACGUAAAAAAAUAUACAAAUAAUGGUAAUAAAAGUAAAAAAAAUUAUGAAAAAAAAGUUUUAGAUAAUUGGAAUAAAAAACCUUUAAUAUGUACAUAUUAUUUUUAUAAAGGCAAGUGUAUGCAUAAUGAAAAAUGUUUAUUUUCACAUGAUGUUGAACCUUUAUAUAAGAUAUCUAACUUAUGUAAAUAUUUUGUUAAAGGAGCUUGUUCAAAAGAAAAUUGUGUAUUUUCACAUGAUCCAACAAUAUUUUUUUGUCGAAAUAAUGUUUUAAGUAAUAGCUGUCACAAGCCAGCAUGUAAAUUUAAGCAUGUUAAAAUUAAUAGUACUAUUACAAGUGUCGAAGACUAUAAUAUGGAAGUGGAUAAUAUAUUAACAAAAGAUGACAAAAUAAGAUUUAUAUAUAAUAAUAAACAUUAUUUAACUGAAUAUCUUUUUAAUAAUUAUUUUCCAUACGAUAAACUCAAUGAAGUUGAUGAAAACACAUUUACACGAAAAGAUGAAUACCCUUGGUUUAUUAACGAACUUAUAGAUUUGAUUCGGAUGGAUUUUAAAAUGGAUAAAACUAAUUCAUUUUUUAAUGUUUUGAAUAGGUUUAAGCAAAUGAGAUUGCUUAUUCCUGUGCGUCCAAAUGGAAUUAAUGUAAAUUAUAGUAUUACACUACAGAAUAAUAGUGCAUCAGGUAUAUACAAAAACAAAAAUUUUAACAAUAACAAUACAUUUUAUAAUAAUAAUAAUGAUAAUAAUAAUAAUAAUGAUAAUAAUAAUAAUAAUAAUAAUAAUGAUAAUAAUAAUGAUAAUAAUGAUAAUAAUAAUGAUAAUAAUAAUGAUAAUAAUA
This 1087-nucleotide long non-coding RNA is filed under the name Piliocolobus tephrosceles (Ugandan red Colobus). Its description in RNAcentral is "lncRNA (ENSPTEG00000024447.1)". The record is from RNAcentral. Lineage: Eukaryota; Metazoa; Chordata; Mammalia; Primates; Cercopithecidae.